This 847-nucleotide ribosomal RNA is filed under the name Cephalotrichum robustum. RNAcentral's name for it is "eukaryotic LSU rRNA". It matches the Rfam family "Eukaryotic large subunit ribosomal RNA", at positions 67 to 942 of the family's 3401-position model. Lineage: Eukaryota; Fungi; Ascomycota; Sordariomycetes; Microascales; Microascaceae. The record is from RNAcentral.
ACAGGGGAUUACCUCAGUAACGGCGAGUGAAGCGGUAACAGCUCAAAUUGAAAUCUGGUCCCCUCUGGGGGCCCGAGUUGUAAUUUGAAGAGGAUGCUUUUGGCGAGGCGCCUUCCGAGUGCCCUGGAACGGGACGCCACAGAGGGUGAGAGCCCCGUAUGGUAGGACGCCGAGCCUCUGUAAAGCUCCUUCGACGAGUCGAGUAGUUUGGGAAUGCUGCUCAAAAUGGGAGGUAAACCCCUUCUAAAGCUAAAUAUUGGCCAGAGACCGAUAGCGCACAAGUAGAGUGAUCGAAAGAUGAAAAGCACUUUGAAAAGAGAGUUAAACAGCACGUGAAAUUGUUGAAAGGGAAGCGCUUGCGACCAGACUUGCGCCCGUCGGAUCAACCGUCCCUCGUGGGCGGCGCACUCCGGCGGGCUCAGGCCAGCAUCAGUUUUCCCGGGGGGAGAAAGGCGGUGGGAAUGUGGCUCUUCGGAGUGUUAUAGCCCUCCGCGUAAUGCCCCCGGGGGGACUGAGGACCGCGCGUAAGCAAGGAUGCUGGCGUAAUGGUCGUCAGCGACCCGUCUUGAAACACGGACCAAGGAGUCGUCCUAAUAUGCGAGUGUACGGGUGUAAAACCCCUGCGCGUAAUGAAAGUGAACGGAGGUGAGAGCUUCGGCGCAUCAUCGACCGAUCCUGAUGUUCUCGGAUGGAUUUGAGUAAGAGCAUAUUGGGCCGGACCCGAAAGAAGGUGAACUAUGCCUGUAUAGGGUGAAGCCAGAGGAAACUCUGGUGGAGGCUCGCAGCGGUUCUGACGUGCAAAUCGAUCGUCAAAUAUGGGCAUGGGGGCGAAAGACUAAUCGAACCU